RNAcentral lists this transfer RNA (65 nucleotides) under Hydroptila angulata. RNAcentral's name for it is "tRNA-Trp". Lineage: Eukaryota; Metazoa; Arthropoda; Insecta; Trichoptera; Hydroptilidae. The record is from RNAcentral.
AAAGUUUUAAGUUAAAAAAACUAUUAAUUUUCAAAAUUAAAAUUAAAUAAAUUAUUUAAGCUUUA